Molecule: transfer RNA, 71 nt
Filed under: Ovis aries (sheep)
Lineage: Eukaryota; Metazoa; Chordata; Mammalia; Artiodactyla; Bovidae
Rfam family: tRNA
About the family: Transfer RNA (tRNA) molecules are approximately 80 nucleotides in length.
Source: Rfam by way of RNAcentral
CCCUGGUGGUCCAGUGGCUAAGACUCUGCACUCCCAAUGCGGGGGGCCUGGGUUUGAACCCUGUUCAGGGA